UGAAACUGAGCAUUGAUGGCGGGUUGGUCUCGACCUACUUCUCCUAUGUCUACAAGAAUAAAAUUAAGAGGAAAAGAUCAAAUGCAAGGGGUAUAGAUAGAUGAUUUAAAUAAGGAACUUGGAUUGGAUACAAGGGUAUCGACCAAGAAAUAAAGUAAAUGCAAGGAUUGAAAAAGGCAAACCGAUUUGAUUCAAAAACGAAAGUUGAUAUAUAUAUAUAUAUAUUUUUUUUUUUUUAAUUCGAAAACUUGGAAAG
RNAcentral lists this long non-coding RNA (256 nucleotides) under Brassica rapa (field mustard). RNAcentral describes it as "long non-coding RNA (BRAP_LNC005723)". Lineage: Eukaryota; Viridiplantae; Streptophyta; Magnoliopsida; Brassicales; Brassicaceae. The record is from RNAcentral.